This 301-nucleotide ribosomal RNA is filed under the name uncultured bacterium. RNAcentral describes it as "partial 16S ribosomal RNA". It matches the Rfam family "Bacterial small subunit ribosomal RNA", at positions 509 to 807 of the family's 1533-position model. The record is from RNAcentral.
CAGCAGCCGCGGUAAUACGUAGGUGGCAAGCGUUGUCCGGAAUUAUUGGGCGUAAAGGGCUCGCAGGCGGUUUCUUAAGUCUGAUGUGAAAGCCCCCGGCUCAACCGGGGAGGGUCAUUGGGAACUGGGAAACUUGAGUGCAGAAGAGGAGAGUGGAAUUCCACGUGUAGCGGUGAAAUGCGUAGAGAUGUGGAGGAACACCAGUGGCGAAGGCGACUCUCUGGUCUGUAACUGACGCUGAGGAGCGAAAGCGUGGGGAGCGAACAGGAUUAGAGACCCCGGUAGUCCCUGUCUCUUAUAC